This 468-nucleotide ribosomal RNA is filed under the name uncultured bacterium. RNAcentral describes it as "partial 16S ribosomal RNA". It matches the Rfam family "Bacterial small subunit ribosomal RNA", at positions 28 to 507 of the family's 1533-position model. The record is from RNAcentral.
GACGAACGCUGGCGGCGUGCUUAACACAUGCAAGUCGAACGGAAAGGCCCUGCUUUUGUGGGGUGCUCGAGUGGCGAACGGGUGAGUAACACGUGAGUAACCUGCCCCUGACUUUGGGAUAACUUCAGGAAACUGGGGCUAAUACCGGAUAGGAGCUCCUGCUGCAUGGUGGGGGUUGGAAAGUUUCGGCGGUUGGGGAUAGACUCGCGGCUUAUCAGCUUGUUGGUGGGGUAGUGGCUUACCAAGGCUUUGACGGGUAGCCGGCCUGAGAGGGUGACCGGCCACAUUGGGACUGAGAUACGGCCCAGACUCCUACGGGAGGCAGCAGUGGGGAAUAUUGCACAAUGGGCGGAAGCCUGAUGCAGCAACGCCGCGUGCGGGAUGACGGCCUUCGGGUUGUAAACCGCUUUCGCCUGUGACGAAGCGUGAGUGACGGUAAUGGGUAAAGAAGCACCGGCUAACUACGUG